RNAcentral lists this transfer RNA (76 nucleotides) under Streptomyces sp. SA15. RNAcentral's name for it is "tRNA-Thr". It matches the Rfam family "tRNA". From Rfam's summary of the family: Transfer RNA (tRNA) molecules are approximately 80 nucleotides in length. Their secondary structure includes four short double-helical elements and three loops (D, anti-codon, and T loops). Lineage: Bacteria; Bacillati; Actinomycetota; Actinomycetes; Kitasatosporales; Streptomycetaceae. The record is from RNAcentral.
GCCGCCUUAGCUCAGUUGGCAGAGCGAGUGCCUUGUAAGCUCUAGGUCGUCGGUUCGAUUCCGACAGGCGGCUCGA